UGUAGCUCAGUGGCACAGUGCCUGCCUGGCAAGCAGGAGGCCCUGAGUUCAAUUCCCGGUA
This 61-nucleotide transfer RNA is filed under the name Heterocephalus glaber (naked mole-rat). It matches the Rfam family "tRNA", at positions 6 to 65 of the family's 71-position model. Rfam says of the family: Transfer RNA (tRNA) molecules are approximately 80 nucleotides in length. Their secondary structure includes four short double-helical elements and three loops (D, anti-codon, and T loops). The record is from Rfam by way of RNAcentral. Lineage: Eukaryota; Metazoa; Chordata; Mammalia; Rodentia; Bathyergidae.